Molecule: ribosomal RNA, 254 nt
Filed under: uncultured bacterium
Lineage: Bacteria
Description: partial 16S ribosomal RNA
Rfam family: Bacterial small subunit ribosomal RNA
Source: RNAcentral
UACAGAGGUCCCAAGCGUUUGUUCGGAUUCAUUGGGCGUAAAGGGUGCGUAGGCGGCGCGGUAAGUCGGGUGUGAAAUCUCGGGGCUUAACUCCGAAACUGCAUUCGAUACUGCCGUGCUUGAGGACUGGAGAGGAGACUGGAAUUUACGGUGUAGCGGUGAAAUGCGUAGAUAUCGUAAGGAAGACCAGUGGCGAAGGCGGGUCUCUGGACAGUUCCUGACGCUGAGGCACGAAGGUCAGGGGAGCAAACGGG